GAUGAACGCUGGCGGCGUGCCUAAUACAUGCAAGUCGAGCGAACAGAUGAGGAGCUUGCUCCUCUGACGUUAGCGGCGGACGGGUGAGUAACACGUGGAUAACCUACCUAUAAGACUGGGAUAACUUCGGGAAACCGGAGCUAAUACCGGAUAAUAUAUUGAACCGCAUGGUUCAAUAGUGAAAGACGGUUUUGCUGUCACUUAUAGAUGGAUCCGCGCCGCAUUAGCUAGUUGGUAAGGUAACGGCUUACCAAGGCAACGAUGCGUAGCCGACCUGAGAGGGUGAUCGGCCACACUGGAACUGAGACACGGUCCAGACUCCUACGGGAGGCAGCAGUAGGGAAUCUUCCGCAAUGGGCGAAAGCCUGACGGAGCAACGCCGCGUGAGUGAUGAAGGUCUUCGGAUCGUAAAACUCUGUGAUUAGGGAAGAACAAAUGUGUAAGUAACUAUGCACGUCUUGACGGUACCUAAUCAGAAAGCCACGGCUAACUACGCG
Molecule: ribosomal RNA, 497 nt
Filed under: uncultured bacterium
Lineage: Bacteria
Description: partial 16S ribosomal RNA
Rfam family: Bacterial small subunit ribosomal RNA
Source: RNAcentral